GACGAACGCUGGCGGCGUGCUUAACACAUGCAAGUCGAACGGUAAGGCCCUUCGGGGUACACGAGUGGCGAACGGGUGAGUAACACGUGGGUGAUCUGCCCUGCACUUCGGGAUAAGCCUGGGAAACUGGGUCUAAUACCGGAUAGGACUCCUGGCUUCAUGGUUGGGGGUGGAAAGCUUUUGCGGUGUGGGAUGGGCCCGCGGCCUAUCAGCUUGUUGGUGGGGUAAUGGCCUACCAAGGCGACGACGGGUAGCCGGCCGGGGAGGGUGCCCGGUCACACUGGGACUGGGAUACGGCCCAGACUCCUACGGGAGGCAGCAGUGGGGAAUAUUGCACAAUGGGCGCAAGCCUGAUGCAGCGACGCCGCGUGAGGGAUGACGGCCUUCGGGUUGUAAACCUCUUUCAGCUAUGACGAAGCGCAAGUGACGGUAGUAGCAGAAGAAGGACCGGCCAACUACGUGCCAGCAGCCGCGGUAA
This 478-nucleotide ribosomal RNA is filed under the name uncultured bacterium. RNAcentral describes it as "partial 16S ribosomal RNA". It matches the Rfam family "Bacterial small subunit ribosomal RNA", at positions 28 to 523 of the family's 1533-position model. The record is from RNAcentral.